AUUCCUUCCUGCCACAAUCAACAUUACACCACGGAAAGGCCGAAGCAUAUUUUUAAAAGCUAAUGUUGAGAUGGAACACAGUCCCCUGACAGCUUUACCUCGACUAUAGCCUCUUCUCUAGACUUGGUAGAAAUUGUCACCCACUGGACUGUUGUCCCUUUUAGCUCACCUCCCCUGUUCUGUCUGUGACCAGAGGUGUCCACUCUUUUACCUAAGCCUGCGGGGCAGUUGUGAGGAGAAGUGAAAUUACAAUAGAUUCACGGCAUUGGAGGUAGAGGCUCAAGAUCCCUCUUCCUGAAAGAGACCUCGUUACCCAGCUGUAUGACGAGGUCACGGGUCAGUCUGUCUGUUCUUGGUGGUGGUUCUCGAUGCCCCAGAGACCGACAUCAAGACCUCUCUGCCCCUGUACGUGUGUCACCCCCCACGUGACUGUGUGUGGCUAUAAAAGUUUAUCUCCUAAGCUGGUCGUAUGACACCUGCCUUCCAGCUAGUCCUCUAGAUGUGCAUUUAUUCUGCAAAUAGCAGAUCUCCCGCGCUCCGGAGGUGUUUCUGUUGUGUCUCUGGGAAAUGGGCCCUGAGUUCCAGUUCUGUACCAGGAUUCGUGAGCACUUCUUUCCCUGGCUGCGAGAUACUUCGUCUUUUCUCAUUCUCAGAUAACACUACUUUUGACCAUUGUGCUGCUCAACAACAGUGCCCCUGGAACUAGAUGAUAGGAAUCUUUACCCCCCCCCCCAAAUAAAAAUUGGCAGUGUGCCCUUGUGAUCAUGUGUCAUACUUGGCAUAUGUUGGUCUAGAAACAACUUGAUGAUUUGCUCACUGCUGCAGACUCUGCCCAACAUCACACAGCAAACGGAGUCUUGAAAUUUGAGUGUGGGUUGAAUGUUCAUAAAUAAAUUGCGUUUCCCUUUAUCUUACAUUUAAUUAAAGAGGUGAUGUGCUUUCUGAUUACCCUGUAUUUGGCAGGGGUAGCUAUUCCUUUAACUCUGUUUUCCUGCCCUAUAGCUUCCUUCUCCAGUAGUUAAUCACCAGCAUCCUUAGACUAACACUAAGUUACUAGAGGGUGAUGCGGUUUAAAAAAAAAAAAAAAAAAAAAGUCAGUGAGCAGGAAAGGAUUAUGGCACAAAUCAUUUGCUCCCUAGUUCCUUUGGAUAGAAAGGUCAGUUUUCUCACUUUGAGUUUUCAUAAAACUGGGCAAAUUAACAGUCCCCCCUGUCCAAUAUGUCAACAACCUGUUAUAUUUGAAAUUACUCUUUAAAAUGAGGUGUAAAACUGCACUACACUUCCUCCCUGUCAGUUAAUUGACUUGCUACCCUCCUGCCAAGAUGUGUCCAUUUUAAAAAUGAUUGCUUUAAAUAUUCAUCGAAAAGCAUAUAGCAAAUUAUACUCUGGCAGAGACACAAAGGCUAAUAUUUGGAGCUGAGCGCUCAUUCACUCAGGGUUUAUCACACUGAAGGCAGAACGAGUGCAGCUGGUUUUCUCUCAGAGAAAUGUUUCCUUGGGCAAAGAGUUGUUGGUCUUAGUUCUGUGUGGUCCCCCACUAUACACAUUGUGGCGAUAUGUUUACAUAAAGCAGUAGUCAUCAUGGGGCCCCCUCAGCAAUAUCAGCGUAUCACAUGAUCCCCUCACCUGAAGACUGGGUUGGGUGAGGCCCCAGGCUAUAGAAAAUCCUAACUAAGUCUCAAUUCUGCGGUUAUAAGAGACCGCGAGGGGGUCCCUGGUCUCUUCCCAGCAUGUCACCCUCUGCCGAAGGCUCACGCCUAAACAGCGCAAGUAGGAAACACUCUCUCCCCACCCGAUCCCCCCAACUGCAGGAGAGAGCCGUGGGUGAUGACACCAAAACCCAGGUCAGGUUGCUGAGUUCCGGGGCCAGGUCAUCCCAAAUCACUGUUUCCCUAACUUUAGAAGGAGGGGGUUGGCCGUGGAUGCAUUCUUAAUACAUUCUUUGAUUUCCAAAGGAGAACAACGAGUUUUCAUCAUCUCUCUUAGUAAGUCUUUCACAUCUUGAAAUGAUGAUGCUGGACCAGUACUCAAGAUUGUUGUUGAGGAGUUCCCAUUGUGGUGCAGCGGAAACAAAUCCGACUAGGAACCACGAGGUGUCGGGUUCGAUCCCUGGCCUCGCUCAGUGGGUUAAGGAUCCGGUGUUGC
Long non-coding RNA from Phacochoerus africanus (Common warthog), 2145 nucleotides. RefSeq lists it as uncharacterized. The record is from RefSeq and is a predicted model, not a curated record. The transcript is spliced from 3 exons. NCBI's taxonomy places the organism in Eukaryota, Metazoa, Chordata, Mammalia, Artiodactyla, Suidae.